AAACUUACCAGGUCAAGACAUGGGCGUGAUUGACAGGCUAAUGACUUUUCUCGAUUCCAUGGAUGGUGGUGCAUGGUCGCACUUAGUUGGUGCAGUGAUUUGUCAGGUUUAUUCCGGUAACGAACGAGACCUCGGCCUUGUAAAUAGCUAUGCUGCUUACAGGGACAUUGGCGGCUACGCCAAGGAAGCUCGAGGCAAUUGCAGAUCUGGAAUGCCCUUAGAUGUCCUGGGUCGCACGCGUGCUACAAUGACGCCACGAACGAGCUUGCGUGAUGAAAGUUACGCAUAAUCAGCAGUCGGCGUCUUAAGGGAUAGUCUCUUGUAACUGUGGGACUCCAACUAGGAAUGUCUCGUAAGCACAAGUCAACAUCUUGUGUUGAUUACGUCCCUGCUCUUUGUACACACCGCCCGUCGCUCCUACCGAUCGAGUGUUUAGGUGAAUUUGAUGGACGUAAGGAAGUCAAAUAAACCUGAGCACUAGAGAAGAGAAGUCUAGAUGU
This 500-nucleotide ribosomal RNA is filed under the name uncultured Myrionecta. RNAcentral describes it as "bacterial SSU rRNA". It matches the Rfam family "Eukaryotic small subunit ribosomal RNA", at positions 1211 to 1792 of the family's 1831-position model. Lineage: Eukaryota; Ciliophora; Litostomatea; Cyclotrichida; Mesodiniidae. The record is from RNAcentral.